AUGCUUCAGAUUUCAACGAAGCUUUGAUCAGCACCUCCCUCAUCAACUAGAAGACGGACAAGGAUUUUUGGUGGAGACAGAAAGC
Melanotaenia boesemani (Boeseman's rainbowfish) is the source of this 85-nucleotide long non-coding RNA. RefSeq lists it as uncharacterized. The record is from RefSeq and is a predicted model, not a curated record. NCBI's taxonomy places the organism in Eukaryota, Metazoa, Chordata, Actinopteri, Atheriniformes, Melanotaeniidae. The transcript is spliced from 3 exons.